This 1015-nucleotide long non-coding RNA is filed under the name Homo sapiens (human). Its description in RNAcentral is "novel transcript". Lineage: Eukaryota; Metazoa; Chordata; Mammalia; Primates; Hominidae. The record is from RNAcentral.
AGAUUACAAUAAAUCAUGCCAUUCACACAAGUUCUUACAGGGAUUUAAUUGCAUCUUUGAAAGGUUUGGCAGAUACAUCAAGCCAGUUCAUUAAUGCACAGAUGAUUCCUUCACAUUAAGAAAGACACGUUGGAGCACCAUAAAUGUCAAGGCAGUUAUUACACACAAAAAGCAUAAAAUGGCAACCAUCAAAAGAUUCAUAGCCAAAAGGGACUUGCCUUAUCUCAGUUGAGGCUUUGGACUUGGAACUUUGAGGUAAGGCUGGAAUGACUUAAAAUCUUGGGGGUCUCUUGGAAGGCCAAGAUUGUGCUUUGAACUGUGAGGGCAUGAGAUUUGGGAGUGGCCAGGGUUGGAAUUAUAUAGUUUGGCUGUGUACCUACCCAAAUCUCAUCGUGAAUUGUAGUUCCUAUAAUCCCCACAUGUCAUGAGUGGGACCAAGUGGAGUUAACUGAAUCAUAGAGGUGGUUUCCCCCAUGCUGUUCUCCACGAUAGUGAGUUAGUUCUCACAAGGUCUGAUGGCUUUAUAAGGGGCUUCCACUUUCACUGGGCACUUACUUUUCCUCUCUGUCACCAUGUGAAGAAGGACAUGUUUGCUUCCCCUUCCACCAUGAUUGUACGUUUCCUAAGGUCUUCCCAACCUUGUGGAACGCUGAGUCAACUACACCAUUUUCUGUUUUUAAAUUACCCAGUCUCAGACAGUUCUUUAUAGCAGCAUGAGAAUGGACUAAUCCACAUACAAUAUGGUACUGAGUAUUUAAAAUAAUUUCUUAGAAUUUUUCUUAUAGUGAUGAAUAACUGACUUUUAUAACAAAGAAGUGGUUCAUGCUCAAUUGUACAAAAGCAUAAACUAAGCAAUACAUACAUUCUUCAUAUUACUUUGCCCUUGUCCCUCAAUACACUAUUUAAGUACUUUUGACUUUGUCCUAAGUAUACUGCCGUGUAAUGACUUAAGAUGACUUAAUUUUCAGAAUAUUUGUUCCUAUUUAAACCACUAAGUAAAUGUUCUUUGUACAGC